Molecule: long non-coding RNA, 1318 nt
Filed under: Gadus morhua (Atlantic cod)
Lineage: Eukaryota; Metazoa; Chordata; Actinopteri; Gadiformes; Gadidae
Description: lncRNA (ENSGMOG00000029180.1)
Source: RNAcentral
AUCAAUUAAUACCAUUUGUUCUAAAACAGGUCGGGGGAAGGCAUUGGAUGCAGCAUCCAAAGAGUGUGACCAACUACAGUUGUGGAGGCCAGCUAUAGUGAAUCACCUCUAUUGGACUGCAGCCUCAACCCCAGAUGGCAACCCAGCGGUCAUGGAGGCCAAAUGGAGAAGUUUAGUGAACCACAUCCAGGACAUCCAUGACCAUGACACCCCUGCCUUCUCCAGUUGUGCCCAUGGCCCUCUAGACGAAGAUCAGCGCAACAAAGAGUGGCUGGACCCAGGCUCAUUGGCAGCAGUCAAGUUGGAGAACAUAAUGAUGAGGCUGCCUUGCUGAAAGAUGUUCGUCAGCUGUCUCCACAGCACCAGACCUUCUCCCUUGAGGCUUACCACUCCCUCAUCUUGCACUUCGCGCCCAAGCACACAGGGUUUUCAUACCUUGGGAUGUAUAGCAGGUCAGUGCUAUCCAAUGGAAUAACACUGCCAAUUAUUAUGCCUUUUAUAGUAAUAAUAGUACCUAUUAACGUGCCUAUUGUAGUAUUUUGUCAUACACCAAGUUUCAAAGGUUUUCUCAAAUGUGUUAUUUUGUAGGCUUCUCUUAGCGGCGCUGCAUUAUAAUCACAAUGCCAAUCGCGAGACAGCACGGAGAAGUGACGGGACAGAGAAGUACUGCGUGUGAAAAGGUUGCCCUCCUUUUCCCGAACAUGAGCACCUGGAAGUUAAUCAUAGCCUGAUUGGGGAUGCAGGAACAUGACUGGUUGUAAAGGGGGGGACGUUAUUUUUCUAUGUUUAAUUAUCAUGAUAUUUUUCAUUUGUGCAACAGUGAACUUUAUGAUCAAGAUGCAAACUGUUGAGAUAUGCAAUGAAGUGUCUGGUUGAUUAUGAUUUCGUUAUAAAAUAUAAAUGUAAUGUGGUACUUGGGUCGGUGAACCCCCAUGGCAGUUGGUAUCUACCAUUUUGUGUAAUUGGUUGGCUUUAUUUAAGCCCGGUAUUUUCUGCUUUCAAGGGGGUGGAGGCAUAGAGAGACGGCUUGCCGUGAGGCUGGUACACGUUCAGAUUAAGGGAACUUUUCUUGUUUGUUUUGUUUAUCAAAGUAUUUCGUUUUGUGGCCAUUUCACUUUUCAAGCAUGGGAAAUAAAUCAGUUUUUUUCAACUAAUUUAUGCUGCUUGCUGAAUUUUUGCGGCCUACUCAAAGACCUUCAUUGCGUCCUAAACCGCUACGUUCCGAAUUGGAAGUGAGUCGGGAGGCUCAUUUUCACAUGUGGUGGCAGUGGUGGGAUCGUGGCGCCCCCUGGAGCAGUGAAGAGGAAGCCGACGAGAC